GCUGGCGGUAGGCUUAACACAUGCAAGUCGAGCGGUAACAGGCAUUUUGAUUCAGCUUGCUGAAUCUCGCGCUGACGAGCGGCGGACGGGUGAGUAACGCGUAGGAAUCUACCUAGUAGAAGGGGAUAGCCCGGGGAAACUCGGAUUAAUACCGUAUACGUCCUUAGGGAGAAAGAGGGCUUAGCUUUGAUGCUCUCGCUAUUAGAUGAGCCUGCGUAAGAUUAGCUUGUUGGUGAGGUAAAGGCUCACCAAGGCUACGAUCUUUAGCUGGUCUGAGAGGACGAUCAGCCACAUUGGGACUGAGACACGGCCCAGACUCCUACGGGAGGCAGCAGUGGGGAAUAUUGGACAAUGGGCGCAAGCCUGAUCCAGCCAUACCGCGUGUGUGAAGAAGGCCUUCGGGUUGUAAAGCACUUUAAGUAAGGAAGAAAAGUAUAUUGUUAAUACCAAUGUACCGUGACAUUACUUACAGAAUAAGGACCGGCUAAUUCCGUGCCAGCAGCCGCGGUAAUACGGAAGGUCCAAGCGUUAAUCGGAAUUACUGGGCGUAAAGCGCGCGUAGGUGGUUUAUUAAGUUGG
This 579-nucleotide ribosomal RNA is filed under the name uncultured Pseudomonadota bacterium. RNAcentral describes it as "bacterial SSU rRNA". It matches the Rfam family "Bacterial small subunit ribosomal RNA", at positions 35 to 591 of the family's 1533-position model. The record is from RNAcentral. Lineage: Bacteria; Pseudomonadati; Pseudomonadota.